RNAcentral lists this ribosomal RNA (687 nucleotides) under Triticum aestivum (bread wheat). RNAcentral's name for it is "partial small subunit ribosomal RNA". Lineage: Eukaryota; Viridiplantae; Streptophyta; Magnoliopsida; Poales; Poaceae. The record is from RNAcentral.
AUGGUGGAGGGCUCCAUACAAGACAUUGCUAACCUGAAGUUCCUCCUCCUGUGCUUCCAACAAAUGUCGGGCCUAACCAUCAACUUCGAUAAGAGCGAAGUGAUGGUUCUCGGGUACCCCCCGGAGGAAGCACAGGCUAUUGCUGACCGACUAAAUUGUCGGUUGGGUUCUUUCCCCACGACUUACUUGGGGAUCCCCAUUAGUGAUUCGGGCCUCACCGUGGCCGAUCUUCGCCCCACGGUGACCCGUAUGCAACAUCGCGUUGAGCCCUGGAAAGGAUGCUGGUUGUCGAAGGCUGCUCGCGUGAUCCUUAUCAACUCUUCGCUUGCCAGCCUUCUAUGGUUCCUCAUGAGCUUCUAUAGCCUCCAUGAUACCCUCCAUCAGGAGAUCGCCAAAUACCAAUCCAGAUUCUUCUGGGCUGGGGAGGGGGAUAAGCAGAAGUACCACAUGGUCAGCUGGCCAGAUAUCUGCAAACCCAAGGACCAGGGCGGUCUUGGGAUCUUGUCCUCCCGACGCAUGAACAUUGCCCUCCUGACCCGUUGGCUCAGGCGCAUUGCCAAUGGCGAUGGAGGUCUUUGGCUCACCAUCAUCCAGAACAAGUACCUUCGAGGACAACCUCUCGCAUUCUGUCAGCGCUCGGGCGGCUCCCAGUUCUCGCAUUCUGUAAGUGCAUCUAGUGCCCCUUAG